AAUCAACGCUGGCGGCGUGCCUAACACAUGCAAGUCGAGCGCGAAAGCGGGGCAACCCGCAAGUAGAGCGGCGAACGGGUGAGUAACGCGUGGGUGAUCUACCUCCGAGUGGGGAACAACAUCGGGGAAACUGGUAGCUAAUACCGCAUGACAUCCUCGGGUCAUACUGAGGAUCAAAGCCGGGGACCGCAAGGCCUGGCGCUUGGAGAGGAGCCCCGCGUCCGAUAGCUAGUUGGCGGGGUAACGGCCCACCAAGGCGACGACCGGUAGCCGGCCUGAGAGGGCGGACGGCCACACUGGGACUGAGACACGGCCCAGACUCCUACGGAGGCAGCAGUGGGGAAUUUUUCGCAAU
Molecule: ribosomal RNA, 355 nt
Filed under: uncultured bacterium
Lineage: Bacteria
Description: bacterial SSU rRNA
Rfam family: Bacterial small subunit ribosomal RNA
Source: RNAcentral